This 1419-nucleotide ribosomal RNA is filed under the name Triticum aestivum (bread wheat). RNAcentral's name for it is "partial small subunit ribosomal RNA". The record is from RNAcentral. Lineage: Eukaryota; Viridiplantae; Streptophyta; Magnoliopsida; Poales; Poaceae.
AUGGAGGACGCGGCGGCGGCGGCCGUCCCCGGAGCGCACGCGUCGGCGAGCCGCCGAUCCGACGACCGGCAAGCGCCGCUGUGGAGUCCCGGCCUCCGGGAGCAGCAGAGAAGCCCCGACGAUCUCAUCAGCCACCUGCCCGACGACGUCCUCGGCGCCGUCGUCUCGCUCCUCCCCACCAAGGACGGCGCGCGCACGCAGGUCCUCUCGCGCCGGUGGCGCCCCCUCUGGCGCUCGUCCGCGGCGCCGCUCAACCUGUCGAUCGACCGCCGCUUCUGCGCGGGCGACGCGCGCAAGCACGUCGCCGUCGUCUCCCGGAUCCUCUCCGACCACCCCGGCCCCGCCCGCCGGUUCUCGCUCCGCCGGGCCUUCCCGCCAGGCCAGAUCGACCGCUGGCUCCGCGCCGGGUCGCUCGCCCGCCUGCAGGAUCUCGAAAUCGCCUACACCAGAGUGCACGGGGACGCAUGCCACCCGAUGCCGCCGUCCGCGCUCUGCUUCGCGCCGACGCUCCGCGCGGCCAAGUUCGGCGGCUGUGAGUUCCCCGAGUUGACCGCGCCGUCCCCGAAGUUUCCGCGCCUCAAGCAGCUCACCCUGUGCCGCGUUAGCAUCUCGGAGGACUCUCUCCACGGCAUGCUCUCCGGCUGCAUUGCCUUGGAAAGCCUUUCGCUGGACCGGAACAUCGGCAUCGGUCGCCUCUGCAUCAGCUCCCCGACGGUUAGGCGCUUCAGCUUCUCGCCUCAUCGGGACAAACAAGGUAUCGUCACUUGCCAAGAGCUGCUCGUCCAGGACGUUCCAUGCCUUGAGAGGUUAAUACUACAUGAUUCACACAUUGGUCCGGCGACCAUCCGGAUAACUGGGGCACCUAAACUGGAGCUAUUGGGGUUGUUGUCUCAUGGCAUAUCUACACUCAAGCCUGGAACCACAGUUCUCCAGAAAACGAUCGAUGUCAGCUUGACAACCAUAAUGCAUAAAGUGAAGAUUUUGGUUGUUGACUCUAUUGGCCCCAAUCUAGAUGCAAUUGUUGGCCUACUCAAGUGCUUCACUUUCUUAGAGAGACUAUACGUCAUUUCCCACCCACAGGAGGAUAUGAAUAAUGUGCGCAAGUAUGACCCACUGGAUCCAAUUGAAUGCCUAGAACUCCAUCUAAAAAAAGUGGUAUUGAAGAAUUACGAUGGUAACCGGACACAAGUUAUUCACUUUGCCCAGUUCUUUGUUUUGAAUGCAAAAGUGCUCAAGGAAAUGGAAAUUGGAGUUGUCAACCGCUGCAACAGCAAAUGGAUGCGCUUUCAACGUAAACGGUUACAAGUGGGGAAUAGAGCUUCUCGAGAUGCACAGAUUGAACUAAAAUGGGAUACAAAGAAGAGCUUCAAAUACCAUGGUUUUUCCGAGGCUGAUCCCUUUGACAUGUCCUCAUGUUGA